This 509-nucleotide ribosomal RNA is filed under the name Clostridium botulinum. RNAcentral's name for it is "partial 23S ribosomal RNA". It matches the Rfam family "Bacterial large subunit ribosomal RNA", at positions 1 to 506 of the family's 2925-position model. The record is from RNAcentral. Lineage: Bacteria; Bacillati; Bacillota; Clostridia; Eubacteriales; Clostridiaceae.
AAUUUUAAGGUCAAGCUACAAAGGGCGCAUGGUGAAUGCCUUGGCACUAGGAGCCGAAGAAGGACGCGAUAAGCUGCGAUAAGCCUUGGGUAGCCGCAAAUAGGCUGAGAUCCAGGGAUUUCCGAAUGAGGAAACUCACAUGGGUAACCCCAUGUAUCAUGCACUGAAUACAUAGGUGUAUGAGGGUAAACCCGGGGAACUGAAACAUCUAAGUACCCGGAGGAAGAGAAAGAAAAAUCGAUUUCCUAAGUAGCGGCGAGCGAACGGGAAAGAGCCCAAACCAGAAACUUGUUUCUGGGGUUGUGGAUAGAUCAUAAAAGAAGAGGUAUCUUAAUCGAAGAGGGCUGGAACGCCCUACCAUAGAAGGUAAUAGUCCUGUAGGUAAAAAGAGAAAACUUCGAGAUCUAAUCCAGAGUACCACGAGACACGUGAAACCUUGUGGGAAGCAGGGAGGACCACCUCCCAAGGCUAAAUACUACCUAGUGACCGAUAGUGAAGCAGUACCGUGA